Molecule: ribosomal RNA, 460 nt
Filed under: uncultured bacterium
Lineage: Bacteria
Description: partial 16S ribosomal RNA
Rfam family: Bacterial small subunit ribosomal RNA
Source: RNAcentral
CCUACGGGUGGCAGCAGUGAGGAAUAUUGGUCAAUGGACGAGAGUCUGAACCAGCCAAGUAGCGUGAAGGAUGACUGCCCUCUGGGUUGUAAACUUCUUUUAUAAAGGAAUAAAACGAGGCACGUGUGCCUUUUUGCAUGUACUUUAUGAAUAAGGAUCGGCUAACUCCGUGCCAGCAGCCGCGGUAAUACGGCGGAUCCGAGCGUUAUCCGGAUUUAUUGGGUUUAAAGGGAGCGUAGAUGGGUUGUUAAGUCAGUUGUGAAAGUUUGCGGCUCAACCGUAAAAUUGCAAUUGAUACUGGCAGUCGUGAGUACAGUUGAGGUAGGCGGAAUUCGUGGUGUAGCGGUGAAAUGCUUAGAUAUCACGAAGAACCCCGAUUGCGAAGGCAGCUUACUAAACUGUGACUGACAUUGAUGCUCGAAAGUGUGGGUAUCAAACAGGAUUAGAUACCCGAGUAGUC